This 365-nucleotide unclassified non-coding RNA is filed under the name fungal sp. RNAcentral describes it as "partial internal transcribed spacer region". The stretch from base 1 to 46 matches the Rfam family "Eukaryotic small subunit ribosomal RNA", at positions 1786 to 1831 of the family's 1831-position model. Lineage: Eukaryota; Fungi. The record is from RNAcentral.
AAGUCGUAACAAGGUUUCCGUAGGUGAACCUGCGGAAGGAUCAUUAAAAAGUUGAUUAUACGGUGCUUUCUGCUUAGCGGAAGGGUAGCAGAGAUCGCUAGUUCGCUAGUGAUUGAAGCCGCUCGGAAGCUUAGCGGGGGCCUGUAUAUGACCACUUUUAAACCACUUGUGCACUGUUUUUGGUCUCUGGUGGGAUCAGUCGCUAGCGGAUUUAUUUGUAGCUUCGCUCUUCGGAGUGUCGCUACUGCCGCUAGCGAACCCCACCGCUUGUAUUACCAACUUGUAUUUUGAAUGAAAAUAGUUGAUUUCUAACCGAAAGGUAUGAAAUAUAGUUACAACUUUUGGCAACGGAUCUCUUGGCUCUC